Molecule: ribosomal RNA, 464 nt
Filed under: uncultured bacterium
Lineage: Bacteria
Description: bacterial SSU rRNA
Rfam family: Bacterial small subunit ribosomal RNA
Source: RNAcentral
CCAGACUCCUACGGGAGGCAGCAGUGAGGAAUAUUGGUCAAUGGGCGGGAGCCUGAACCAGCCAAGUCGCGUGAGGGAAGACGGUCCUAUGGAUUGUAAACCUCUUUAGGCGGGGAGCAAUGCCGGGCACGCGUGCCCGGAGGGAGAGUACCCGCAGAAUAAGCAUCGGCUAACUCCGUGCCAGCAGCCGCGGUAAUACGGAGGAUGCGAGCGUUAUCCGGAUUUAUUGGGUUUAAAGGGUGCGCAGGCGGCGUGUCAAGUCAGCGGUAAAAUGUCGGGGCUCAACCCCGGCCGGCCGUUGAAACUGGCGUGCUCGAGUUGGAGAGAAGUAUGCGGAAUUCGUGGUGUAGCGGUGAAAUGCGUAGAUAUUAGGAGGAACACCGGUGGCGAAGGCGGCCUGCUGGACUGUGACUGACGUUGAGGCCCGAAGGCGUGGGGAGCAAACAGGAUUAGAUACCCUCGUA